CUGCCACGGCGCGUUCUGUUCUGACCUCAUGACAGUACCAUGCGGUCUGGGCUGCGUUGUGCUUGAUGAUGGUGUCACGUUUACCGGGGCACCGAUCCGCGCAGGUAUCGCUUCACAGGUUCACUGUAUUAAUUGAUGACAAGUCCUAAUUAAAACACACAGUUGGCAGCUAAUGUAAUGCCCAAGUCGAAUUGCGUUGUUGCUGUAGUAUCGUCAGCAUCGGCAUGUCGUGCCGCGGCGGGGAGAACGAGGGCAAUACCGAGACCCGACCCCGCCGAAUCAGACUCAUCGGCGUCAGCGGGGAGCUCAUCGAAACGGACCUGAAGCGAAUCAAGCAGGAGGCGGGUUCCGAGUCCGGCUGGGAUAUCGAGACGGUGGUUGUGGGACUCGACAGCGAAGGAGAGGCGGAGGAGAGAGACGCCGCCGGGAGCUACACCUUUCCAGCCGCGGCCCCCCUGCUCUCCGGCGGCCCCAGGUUCGGACCAGCGGGCCAUGCACCCCCCCGUAAGAUCUCUGCUCCCUGGGAUCACGAUGACAUCACGGCCCUGAUCUCGGUGUGGGGUCAGGAUCGGUUCCAGGCGGAGCUGAGCGAGACGUUCCGGAACAUCCAGGUGUUCGAGCGCAUCGCUGCGGCCCUGCGGCGCAUGGGGGUCCAGCGCAGCGCCGUGCAGUGCCGGGGCAAGAUCAAGAAACUGAAGCAGGAGCACAAGCGCUGCGGAGAGAGCCUGGCCAGGGGGGGCUGCGAGCACAGAGCCUUCCGAUACUACCAGCAGCUGGAGCGCGUCCUGAGCCGCAGGAGAGCCCCUCGGGAGCCAGCUGGAGCGCAGGGGGGGGGGCCCGGGGAGGAGGAGGAGACGACACGGGACAGCUUCUUCAUGAGCGACCCCGCUGGCGGCCCCCCCCUGGAGCCCCUGGCCCCUCCACUCUGUAUCCAGGGACCCCCCCUGGAACCGGGGACCCCCACAGCCCUGGAGGAGGCGCCCAGCUCCAGCAAGGCAGAGGCACCGGCUCCCACACCCACAGCGCCCCCAAAGCCGAGACGCCGUUACCAAUCCCACAAUGCUCCCCGCGCACCGGCUGGCCGCUCUAGUCCCAUCUCCGCACUCUGUUGUCGGAGAAGGGAGGAGCUGAGAGGGGGGGGGGGACGGACACCCCUGCCAAAUCCAUUCUUUGUACCUGUUUUCUGGGCGGCUCCUCUUGUUUGUAAACUCUCUUAUGUUAUUGAGAUGUGAAAAGGCCUGGAAGAGAGGCUAGGGAAUCAGUCUGAGGAUUACGAACAUGUGCUCUGUGUUAAUUGCUGUUAUUGUUAUUGCUCUUCUACAUGUUGUUAUUAUUAUUAUUAUUAUUAUUUGCCUGUAAUUCUUGUGUAAAUUCGCUAGCUGUGGUAAGUGGUUCUCAUCCACUCCAGUGCCCUUCUGUCCUCCUGAAGCACGCAAAUCAUUCCUCUAAAUUAUUCUAUUAAAACCGAACCAGGAGCCACACAGACUCGUUAUCCUGUCAUUCCUGUUUGCACCCGGACAGCACAAUCUGUCAGCCCGCCAAUCAACUUCAGCUUUGCUUGAACUCCCUACGGAACUACAACUCUGACGAACUGAACUACAACUCCCACCAUGCUGCGCCCCACCCUAGCCACACCCCUGCCCGGCUCCUUGGUGGCGUCACAAAGCCGCUACCCCGGCCACACGUGGUGCGAAACGCAUUGCUGUUUAUUGUGGUGUUAGCGGCGGAGCAGGGUUUGCGCAGUAAACUGAAGUCCUCCCCUGACCGCUGUCUCUCUGCCCCUGUGUCCGGGUGCUGCUGCAGUUCACACACACGGCAGCCGGCUGGUUGAGUCGAGUAGCGCAGCCUCCAGAAGCAGUACUGGGGAGGGGUGUGGCUCCCCCUGCAGGAUUCCCUCGACAGUGCAACUCAAAAAGCAGCAGAGCGAGGCCAUGGAGGAGGAGCGAGGGCCCCUUAAAGGGAAGGGCCCGGGGAAGCAGCCCGCUGGCGCUGCUGCCCUUAGAGGGAAGGCUAAACCGGCCCGCGGUCGCAAAGCUGCCUCGGCCAGGAAGGCGCCACCAGCGCUGGAGGAAGAGGAGGAGCUGAGGAAGGAGGCCCCCGGAGGUAUUAAACCCUAUGGUUGGCACUCCUUCAAAAGGACAAUAAAUAAAAACAGUUCUCACUGCCUGCACUGAAAAGGAUUUAAAAAAAAAAUUACUAUGU
RNA transcript from Polyodon spathula (Mississippi paddlefish), 2202 nucleotides. RefSeq lists it as uncharacterized. The transcript is spliced from 6 exons. NCBI's taxonomy places the organism in Eukaryota, Metazoa, Chordata, Actinopteri, Acipenseriformes, Polyodontidae. The record is from RefSeq and is a predicted model, not a curated record.